UAGGGAAUCUUCCGCAAUGGGCGAAAGCCUGACGGAGCAACGCCGCGUGAGUGAAGAAGGUCUUCGGAUCGUAAAACUCUGUUAUUAGGGAAGAACAAAUGUGUAAGUAACUAUGCACGUCUUGACGGUACCUAAUCAGAAAGCCACGGCUAACUACGUGCCAGCAGCCGCGGUAAUACGUAGGUGGCAAGCGUUAUCCGGAAUUAUUUGGCGUAAAGCGCGCGUAGGCGGUUUUUUAAGUCUGAUGUGAAAGCCCACGGCUCAACCGUGGAGGGUCAUUGGAAACUGGAAAACUUGAGUGCAGAAGAGGGAAGUGGAAUUCCAUGUGUAGCGGUGAAAUGCGCAGAGAUAUGGAGGAAGACCAGUGGCGAAGGCGACUUUCUGGUCUGUAACUGACGCUGAUGUGCGAAAGCGUGGGGAUCAAACAGG
RNAcentral lists this ribosomal RNA (429 nucleotides) under Actinomycetes bacterium. Its description in RNAcentral is "Actinobacteria bacterium partial 16S ribosomal RNA". It matches the Rfam family "Bacterial small subunit ribosomal RNA", at positions 355 to 776 of the family's 1533-position model. Lineage: Bacteria; Bacillati; Actinomycetota; Actinomycetes. The record is from RNAcentral.